UCUGGAGAGACAGACAGACACAUAGUUAACACUACCACUGCUACAACAUCACCCAGGUCUGGAGAGAGACAGACACAUAGUUAACACUACCACUGCUACAACAUCACCCAGGUCUGGAGAGAGACAGACACAUAGUUAACACUACCACUGCUACAACAUCACCCAGGUCUGGAGAGAGACAGACACAUAGUUAACACUACCACUGCUACAACAUCACCCAGGUCUGGAGAGAGACAGACACAUAGUUAACACUACCACUGCUACAACAUCACCCAGGUCUGGAGAGAGACAGACACAUAGUUAACACUACCACUGCUACAACAUCACCCAGGUCUGGAGAGAGACAGACACAUAGUUAACACUACCACUGCUACAACAUCACCCAGGUCUGGAGAGAGACAGACACAGAGUUAACACUACCACUGCUACAACAUCACCCAGGUCUGGAGAGAGACAGACACAUAGUUAACACUACCACUGCUACAACAUCACCCAGGUCUGGAGAGAGACAGACACAUAGUUAACACUACCACUGCUACAACAUCACCCAGGUCUGGAGAGAGACAGACACAUAGUUAACACUACCACUGCUACAACAUCACCCAGGUCUGGAGAGAGACAGACACAUAGUUAACACUACCACUGCUACAACAUCACCCAGGUCUGGAGAGAGACAGACACAUAGUUAACACUACCACUGCUACAACAUCACCCAGGUCUGGAGACAGACAGACACAUAGUUAACACUACCACUGCUACAACAUCACCCAGGUCUGGAGAGAGACAGACACAGAGUUAACACUACCACUGCUACAACAUCACCCAGGUCUGGAGAGAGACAGACACAUAGUUAACACUACCACUGCUACAACAUCACCCAGGUCUGGAGAGAGACAGACACAUAGUUAACACUACCACUGCUACAACAUCACCCAGGUCUGGAGAGAGACAGACACAUAGUUAACACUACCACUGCUACAACAUCAGCCAGGUCUGGAGACAGACAGACACAUAGUUAA
Molecule: long non-coding RNA, 1019 nt
Organism: Oncorhynchus keta (chum salmon)
Lineage: Eukaryota; Metazoa; Chordata; Actinopteri; Salmoniformes; Salmonidae
Exons: 4
Source: RefSeq, a predicted model, not a curated record